Molecule: ribosomal RNA, 440 nt
Filed under: uncultured bacterium
Lineage: Bacteria
Description: bacterial SSU rRNA
Rfam family: Bacterial small subunit ribosomal RNA
Source: RNAcentral
AACGCGAAGAACCUUACCUACUUUUGAAUCCACGAAAUCUGACAGAGAUGUCGGAGUGCCUUCGGGAAUCGUGAGACAGGUGCUGCAUGGCUGUCGUCAGCUCGUGUCGUGAGAUGUUGGGUUAAGUCCCGUAACGAGCGCAACCCUUAUCCUUAGUUACCAGCGAGUAAAGUCGGGGACUUUAAGGAGACUGCCGGUGAUAAACCGGAGGAAGGUGGGGAUGACGUCAAGUCCUCAUGGCCCUUACAAGUAGGGCUACACACGUGCUACAAUGGCCGGUACAAAGGGUAGCGAACCCGCGAGGGGGAGCCAAUCUCAAAAAGCCGGUCGUAGUCCGGAUUGGAGUCUGCAACUCGACUCCAUGAAGUUGGAAUCGCUAGUAAUCGUGGAUCAGCACGCCACGGUGAAUACGUUCCCGGGCCUUGUACACACCGAGUAUA